AUUGAACGCUGGCGGCAUGCUUUACACAUGCAAGUCGAACGGUAACAGGUUAAGCUGACGAGUGGCGAACGGGUGAGUAAUGCAUCGGAACGUGCCCGGUCGUGGGGGAUAACGCAGCGAAAGCUGCGCUAAUACCGCAUACGAUCUGAGGAUGAAAGCGGGGGACCGUAAGGCCUCGCGCGAUCGGAGCGGCCGAUGUCAGAUUAGGUAGUUGGUGGGGUAAAGGCUCACCAAGCCAACGAUCUGUAGCUGGUCUGAGAGGACGAACAGCCACACUGGGACUGGGACACGGCCCAUACACCUACGGCAGGCAGCAGUGGGGAAUUUUGGACAAUGGGCGAAAGCCUGAACCAGCAAUGCCGCGUGCAGGAUGAAAGCCUUCGGGUUGUAAACUGCUUUUGUACGGAACGAAAAGCUCUGGGUUAAUACCCUGGGGUCAUGACGGUACCGUAAGAAUAAGCACCGGCUAACUACGUGCCAGCCGCCGCAGUAA
This 493-nucleotide ribosomal RNA is filed under the name uncultured bacterium. Its description in RNAcentral is "partial 16S ribosomal RNA". It matches the Rfam family "Bacterial small subunit ribosomal RNA", at positions 30 to 523 of the family's 1533-position model. The record is from RNAcentral.